Molecule: ribosomal RNA, 253 nt
Filed under: uncultured bacterium
Lineage: Bacteria
Description: partial 16S ribosomal RNA
Rfam family: Bacterial small subunit ribosomal RNA
Source: RNAcentral
UACAGAGGGGGCAAGCGUUAUUCGGAAUUAUUGGGCGUAAAGGGCGCGUAGGCGGCCUGGCAAGUGGAAGGUGAAAUCCCCCGGCUUAACCGGGGAACUGCCUUCCAGACUGCCUGGCUUGAGACCGGGAGAGGUGAGUGGAAUUCCCAGUGUAGCGGUGAAAUGCGUAGAUAUUGGGAGGAACACCAGUGGCGAAGGCGGCUCACUGGACCGGUACUGACGCUGAGGAGCGAAAGCGUGGGGAGCGAACAGG